UACGUAGGGGGCAAGCGUUGUCCGGAAUUAUUGGGCGUAAAGCGCGCGCAGGCGGUCAUUUAAGUCUGGUGUUUAAGCCCGGGGCUCAACCCCGGUUCGCAUCGGAAACUGGAUGACUUGAGUGUAGGAGAGGAAAGUGGAAUUCCACGUGUAGCGGUGAAAUGCGUAGAUAUCCUGAGGAACACCGGUGGCGAAAGCGGCGCGCUGGACCCCUUCUGACGCUGAGGCGCGAAAGCCAGGGGAGCAAACGGG
This 252-nucleotide ribosomal RNA is filed under the name uncultured bacterium. Its description in RNAcentral is "partial 16S ribosomal RNA". It matches the Rfam family "Bacterial small subunit ribosomal RNA", at positions 524 to 776 of the family's 1533-position model. The record is from RNAcentral.